Molecule: ribosomal RNA, 1357 nt
Filed under: Campylobacter coli
Lineage: Bacteria; Pseudomonadati; Campylobacterota; Epsilonproteobacteria; Campylobacterales; Campylobacteraceae
Description: partial 23S ribosomal RNA
Rfam family: Bacterial large subunit ribosomal RNA
Source: RNAcentral
AGGUAAGCUACUAAGAGCGAAUGGUGGAUGCCUUGACUGGUAAAGGCGAUGAAGGACGUACUAGACUGCGAUAAGCUACGGGGAGCUGUCAAGAAGCUUUGAUCCGUAGAUUUCCGAAUGGGGCAACCCAAUGUAUAGAGAUAUACAUUACCUAUAUAGGAGCGAACGAGGGGAAUUGAAACAUCUUAGUACCCUCAGGAAAAGAAAUCAAUAGAGAUUGCGUCAGUAGCGGCGAGCGAAAGCGCAAGAGGGCAAACCCAGUGCUUGCACUGGGGGUUGUAGGACUGCAAUGUGCAAGAGGUGAGUUUAGCAGAACAUUCUGGAAAGUAUAGCCAUAGAGGGUGAUAGUCCCGUAUGCGAAAAACAAACCUUAGCUAGCAGUAUCCUGAGUAGGGCGGGACACGAGAAAUCCUGUCUGAAGCUGGGUCGACCACGAUCCAACCCUAAAUACUAAUACCAGAUCGAUAGUGCACAAGUACCGUGAGGGAAAGGUGAAAAGAACUGAGGUGAUCAGAGUGAAAUAGAACCUGAAACCAUUUGCUUACAAUCAUUCAGAGCCCUAUGUAGCAAUACAGGGUGAUGGACUGCCUUUUGCAUAAUGAGCCUGCGAGUUGUGGUGUCUGGCAAGGUUAAGCAAACGCGAAGCCGUAGCGAAAGCGAGUCUGAAUAGGGCGCUUAGUCAGAUGCUGCAGACCCGAAACGAAGUGAUCUAUCCAUGAGCAAGUUGAAGCUAGUGUAAGAACUAGUGGAGGACUGAACCCAUAGGCGUUGAAAAGCCCCGGGAUGACUUGUGGAUAGGGGUGAAAGGCCAAUCAAACUUCGUGAUAGCUGGUUCUCUCCGAAAUAUAUUUAGGUAUAGCGUUGUGUCGUAAUAUAAGGGGGUAGAGCACUGAAUGGGCUAGGGCAUACACCAAUGUACCAAACCCUAUCAAACUCCGAAUACCUUAUAUGUAAUCACAGCAGUCAGGCGGCGAGUGAUAAAAUCCGUCGUCAAGAGGGAAACAACCCAGACUACCAGCUAAGGUCCCUAAAUCUUACUUAAGUGGAAAACGAUGUGAAGUUACUUAAACAACCAGGAGGUUGGCUUAGAAGCAGCCAUCCUUUAAAGAAAGCGUAAUAGCUCACUGGUCUAGUGAUUUUGCGCGGAAAAUAUAACGGGGCUAAAGUAAGUACCGAAGCUGUAGACUUGCACACAACUUAGAUUAUUUAAGUUUAGAAUAUGAGAAACUAAGUUAUAUGUUUAGUUAUAUUUUUACUGAUUUUUAUAGAGUAAAGAUAGAAAUAAAACUUAGUAAAAUCAGUAAAAAUAUUCUUAGACUAAAGUUAAGUAGUUUAAGUUGUGUGCAAGUGGUAGGAG